GAGUUUGAUCAUGGCUCAGGAUGAACGCCGGCGGCGUGCCUAACACAUGCAAGUCGAGCGGGGAUUGUGGAAGUGCUUGCACAGAAGCAAUUCUAGCGGCGGACGGGUGAGUAACGCGUGAGCAAGCUGUCCUUCACAGGGGGAUAACACUUGGAAACAGGUGCUAAUACCGCAUAAGACCACGCUGCUGCAUGGCAGAGGGGUCAAAGGAGAAAUCCGGUGAAGGGUGCGCUCGCGUCCCAUUAGAUAGUUGGCGGGUAAC
This 262-nucleotide ribosomal RNA is filed under the name uncultured bacterium. RNAcentral's name for it is "partial 16S ribosomal RNA". It matches the Rfam family "Bacterial small subunit ribosomal RNA", at positions 9 to 261 of the family's 1533-position model. The record is from RNAcentral.